UCUGUUGGUUCAUAACUGCAAAUAAAGCUGUCUCUCUGUCCCCCAUGUGUCCACCUUUCAACUCUCAAAUAUAUGGUGCCAUAUAAGGGACCACACUACAAAUUUCUUGUGGAAAUCUUCAAGAAAAUUCACAUAGUUCUUUCAUGUGAUAAAGAUGUACCUUUUCCCCCCGAAAGAGAUGCAAUUAUUUGGCACAAAAACAUGUACCUUUUACCCUUCGCGAGAUGCAAA
This 231-nucleotide long non-coding RNA is filed under the name Nicotiana benthamiana. RNAcentral's name for it is "long non-coding RNA (NBEN_LNC002803)". Lineage: Eukaryota; Viridiplantae; Streptophyta; Magnoliopsida; Solanales; Solanaceae. The record is from RNAcentral.